Non-coding RNA from Camellia sinensis, 1027 nucleotides. The record is from RefSeq and is a predicted model, not a curated record. NCBI's taxonomy places the organism in Eukaryota, Viridiplantae, Streptophyta, Magnoliopsida, Ericales, Theaceae.
GCCAAAACACUACCAAACAAAUUGUAAAUAGGACCCACAGCAUAGCACUCCAAUUAUUCUCCCACGUCGGUAGACAAACAUGGCAUAAGCAUCAUAUGAAAUUUCUGAUGAUGUAACAAUCAUGGGGCUGGAAAGCGAUGAGAACGGAACUGCAGAGAGAUCGAAACCUCAAUUGAGAAUUAUUUGGGGCAUGUAACACGUCACACAGUUCAGACAAAAUCAGAGCACACGAGAGAGCUCUUUCUCGUGUCAUUGCCGACGGUGAAUUCUCCUCCAGUUUUUCCUUCGGCGAAUCUCCAUAUUCUAACGUCCCCCUUUUUCAUCCACCAGUUUCUGUAACUGACUCUUUCUCUCUCUCUCUCUCUCUAACAACUGUCCCAUCACAAUACUUUAUAUACAAUACAAAACUGUGUCGGUUGUUCAAAAGUCUAUAUAUCUUUCUCUAUUGUUCGAGCUAUUUCUCUUCUAGUACGUUCUGGAGAUAUAGGGUUUUGGACUCUGAAGGUUUCUCCAUGGAGAUUUUGGUGUUUCUUUAGAAGUUUGCUUACUUUUUUUGUUGUUGUUGUUGAGGGUUUGAAGUAGAAGACGAAGAGUUAGGGCAAGAGUAAGAGUGAGAGUGAGAGAGAGAGAGAGGAGGGAUUGAAUGGUGGAGUAUAAAUGUUGCGGGUCGGAGUUCUUUAUUCACAUAUUGAUAAUCGUGUUUCUAGUUUUGUUCACUGGAUUGAUGUCUGGGCUCACUUUGGGGUUCAUGUCUAUGAGUCUCGUUGAUCUUGAAGUUCUCGCCAAAUCUGGAACUCCCAAGGAUCGCAAACACGCUGCGUCCCUUACCGUAAUUGUUAAGGCUAGGUUUGCAUUUGCUGCUGGAGUGCUCCUCCCUUUUGGUGCAACUUAGUCACUGUUCUUUGUAAGUAUUAGCUGGCUCUCAUUUGGCGUGCAGUUUGGACUAUAUAUUCUUAGAAGUAUAAAAUACUUAAAAAAUCGGUUGUAAUAUUCUACUAAAAAAAAAGUAGAACACAGGAAAAAAAAA